This 253-nucleotide ribosomal RNA is filed under the name uncultured bacterium. Its description in RNAcentral is "partial 16S ribosomal RNA". It matches the Rfam family "Bacterial small subunit ribosomal RNA", at positions 524 to 776 of the family's 1533-position model. The record is from RNAcentral.
GACGGAGGGUGCAAGCGUUACUCGGAAUUACUGGGCGUAAAGCGUACGUAGGCGGCGUGUCAAGUUGGAUGUGAAAUCCCACAGCUUAACUGUGGAACUGCGUCCAAAACUGGCAUGCUCGAGAACAGUAGGGGACAGUGGAACUCCAGGUGGAGCGGUGAAAUGCGUAGAGAUCUGGAGGAACACCGGUGGCGAAAGCGACUGUCUGGGCUGUUUCUGACGCUGAGGUACGAAAGCCAGGGGAGCGAACGGG